Molecule: ribosomal RNA, 204 nt
Filed under: uncultured bacterium
Lineage: Bacteria
Description: partial 16S ribosomal RNA
Rfam family: Bacterial small subunit ribosomal RNA
Source: RNAcentral
UUGCAGUCUGCAACUCGACUGCAUGAAGCCGGAAUCGCUAGUAAUCGCGGAUCAGAAUGCCGCGGUGAAUACGUUCCCGGGUCUUGUACACACCGCCCGUCACACCAUGGGAGUCGGAAAUGCCCGAAGCCGGUGGCCUAACCGAUAAGGGAGGAGCCGUCGAAGGCAGGUCUGAUGACUGGGGUGAAGUCGUAACAAGGUAUC